Anguilla rostrata (American eel) is the source of this 719-nucleotide long non-coding RNA. RefSeq lists it as uncharacterized. The record is from RefSeq and is a predicted model, not a curated record. The transcript is spliced from 3 exons. NCBI's taxonomy places the organism in Eukaryota, Metazoa, Chordata, Actinopteri, Anguilliformes, Anguillidae.
AAAUUCAAUGUUUAGUCCCAGAUAUUGACUGUAGAAUGACAUGUUAGUGUCAUGGUUUUGGCUGAUACCACCAUUUCUUUUCCUUGCUGCGCCUUUUCUUCAGUUAUUACGGCCAUUGGUUUUUUCGUGCGCCUUUUCUUCAGUUAUUAUGGCCAUUGAGUUGAUUGAAUUAUACACGUGCAAAUUUCUUUUUACAAUUUGCACCUGUUGGCGUUCUAUUUAAACCCCGAGCAAGCCGAUAAGCUUUGCUUCAGUGUCACUUACGUUGCACGAGAGCCGGUAAUCUGUCAAGCGAGGUAAAGGUAAAGGUAAAGGUAAAGGUUUGCGAUUUUGGAUUGUUGUGGCUAUAAAAUUAGCACAACAGUCUUUAGCUUAUUAAGUUGUUGGCAACAAGGUAGUGCCACAACCUAAACUCAGAAUUCUUUCUUUAGGGUGUUACUUUUUCAGCCUCGGUACGAGGUCUGUUUUCUUUUAGUUGCUCAGUUUUCUGCUCCGGCAGUUUUUUUUUAGUUUCAGAAAGUUCAUACUCCUUAAGCUUUAGUUUUUUUUACCCAGUACGUGGGUUGUGUAGAGCUUUUCUUUGAGAUACUCUCCCUAAGGAGUAUUGUUUUCCUUUCUGUUAUUUUUCCGCUGUCCUUGUCUCUUGAGACUUUGUGGUUAUUCUACCUCUGGUGAAUAGCUUAAAGAGCCCCCUGUUCAGUCACGGUUGGUCUCCCAUA